ACACAAGACAGCGAGGAGACCAGAUGACAACGGCGUUUACGUCCUGAUCCAGCGGGGUUUCAAAGGCCUCUGUAGAAACAACCUUCAGCUCUGUGAAACCACAGGAAAGAGCCUGAAGUUCAUUUUUUAUGAAAGUUUGGCAUGGAGAUUGUAAAUUAUUAUUCCAAUCGUCUGUGGACAAGAACUAAAAAGAAAGGCUGUAGAUUUUAACGCGACCAUUUUAAAUGUAUGUAUAUGAGUCUGAAUUUGUAAAACAUAAUGCCAGACGUGUCUUUGACAACAUUUCUUUAUCAAAAUGAUGAUGAUCUGAAAGGCGUUUUUCUACAGUUGUGCUCAUCAGUUUACAAACUCUGGAAUGGAAGAAAUGAUGAACAUAAAGAACACUGUUACGAGCAUUCUCAUCAUGUUUGUGCAUGCUUUUUUGUUUGUUGUAUGUUGAGCGCUGUGAAUGCUCUAAAGGUUCUGCUUGUAUGUGUCUAGGUCCCUUAUGGCCUUCUGUUUCUCGUGAUCGGGUUUGCUGAGCUAAGAACUUGGAGCUGCACUGGAUUGGAGGGAGGAAGAAGACUGGAGCCGGCUCGGGAAGGUUUUUGGGCGAAUCCAUUUAUUGUUAAAACAUUCCGUUUACCCUUUUGAAACCAUAAUAUGUUGCAUGUUAGGUUGUGACGUACGGGUGAUGCUGUGGUACGGCGUCCUUACGCCACACUGUGGCCCUUAGGAAGGUGCGAAUGCUGCGAACACCAGCUCUGCAGGAAUAUUUGACUAUGAAGGGGAGUUCAGAUCAUGAUUUAUGAAUUAUUAAAGGUCUUUUGGUGUAGAACACGUGUACAAUAAGAUGUAAGGAAGAGCUCCACCCGCUGCCGUGCCCUUCCAUCCUGUCUAUUCUGUCUGAGAGAUCAGGGGGGGAAUUAGCUGAGCCCCCCCCCACAGCCGUCCAUCAUGUCACCGAGUUAGUGAAAGAUAGCAGCAGAAUGAAUGAAAGCUGCGGCGAGGUCUGGACCUGCAGGGAACCGAGGCGCAGCCGUCACUCUGCUGUCAGCGGUCAAACGGACCAACCAGCCGCCUUCCAACCACCAUCGGCGAGCGGCUGCAGGAAUCCUGAACUUUAAGAAGCUUUGAGGGCCACAGAGAGUCUUCAAUGGUGAACAGGAGUUCAGAUAAGAGGCCAGCAUGUUGCAGCUUUGCUGACUGCAUUACGGACGCAGGGAGGAUGGCGGUGGAAGGCAUGAAAGCUUUGACGAGUUUGGCCGCGUGAUGCUUCCGUCAAAUCUACCUCUGGGAUAAGAUUCACCAAUAAAAUAUUAAAUAUAACAUUUGUAAUGAACCCGGCACUCUGUGGUGCAGGCUGGCCCUCUCCACAGGAUGCAGAGUCAUUCUUGGACACUGGAAAACUAAUAAUAUUAUACCUUUUAGUGAAUGUUUGGGAGAAAUGACAACAAUAGCCAAAUAUGGACAAUCUAUGUUUAUGAUUGAGAAAAUGAAACUAUGGAUGAGAUAUUACUUAGAAAAGUAUAAGAAGAAUGAAGGAUGAAAAUAUUAUGUUGAUAUAACAAAUGGAUCUGUUGAAAAUAUGUAGGAGAAAGCUUUGAUGUAGACAAAUAGGACAAUUAUUACUGUCUCCUUACCCUGGUUUUUGUCUCCUACACACUGGUGUCGCAGAGCAAACGUGUAGUUUUCAAGAUUCAACUCGGAGUGGAUUAUUUGUUGUACCCAGUAUUUUUUUGUUUUUCUCACCCUUUGCUGUUUGUGUUUAGUUUAAUGUUAGGCUGUUUCCAUGUUGUUCUGGUAUCAGAUAAUGGAAAAGAAAAGGAAUAAACCCUGAUUUUUAAAUCUAACACUGGUCAGCAUUUAUAAAAAUGAUCUCAUUUCCUUUAAAUAUGCAUAAAAUAUCCGAACAGUAACGCAUUCAUAAUAUUGUCAGAUGUUGCUUUUAAGCUAAAUCAAAAGAUAUUAAAAAUCAAACCAGUUAUUGUUUGUAGACAAAAGUGUUUAAAAACAGGAAACUUUGGAUGAAAUUCCUGUUCUAGUCAUCCAUAUUUUUCUAUUCAUCAGUAAAUUCUUUGUAGUUUCAAACACAUUUCAGUUUCACUCAUGUUUCAAAAUCUGGAUUUUCACGUUGUUAUCCUGGUUUCUUGGAGUCAAUAAAGUUUGUUGAAAUUUUAA
Oryzias latipes (Japanese medaka) is the source of this 2160-nucleotide long non-coding RNA. RefSeq lists it as uncharacterized. NCBI's taxonomy places the organism in Eukaryota, Metazoa, Chordata, Actinopteri, Beloniformes, Adrianichthyidae. The record is from RefSeq and is a predicted model, not a curated record.